Molecule: long non-coding RNA, 1269 nt
Organism: Pleuronectes platessa (European plaice)
Lineage: Eukaryota; Metazoa; Chordata; Actinopteri; Pleuronectiformes; Pleuronectidae
Exons: 6
Source: RefSeq, a predicted model, not a curated record
AACACUUGGAUAAGCUAACUAGCAGCAUGAAUCGAAUUCGACCACUGAGAUGCUCAGUGGUCGGCUGCACAAAUCAGCACAAAUGUCCUCAUGUGACUCCAGCUUCAGAAGACACAAGAUUGAGAUGGAUUGAGUUCAUAUAUGAUGGCAAUGUUCCUGCAAGAGUUGGCAAAUAUCUGUAUCGGACUGUUUUAUCAACCUGGGCCAAUAUAAUGCCGGAUUCUCGAAAAGGCAAGCACAUCUGUUCACGGUGCUAGGGUACAUCACGUAGCAUGCCAGACGGACCCACCAAAGAUGCGCAUACAUGGCACGCAGCUUUCUAUGAAAACACUGCGACCUCACUACAAAAGUACAGGCACACAGAAAACUGUUCCCUGCACUGAUGUCGGUGUUGGGACCUCAGCUGUAAGAGACCUUGCUUGGAGGAGGGAGAGGACAACCCAAGUUGUUCAAGUAUGGACUUCGGAGAUCCACAGGAUGUUAUCUAUGAUCCUGAUGACUCGGUCACAGUCUUGACUGAGUCAGCAGAUGUGACGACAUUGUGCCAAGUUACAUGGUGAUGGACCUAAGGACCAACACUAUUAUUGAUCUGCAGUUGGUUCAGGACUGUCCAAGAAACUGGUCAAGAUAUCCCAGGACAAAGAAUGUGUGAAACUGAAGAAGUGGCUUCGCAGCAUAAAAAAACACAUCUACUGGACAGCCGCUAUGUCAACAUCAGGGCAAGAGAGAGUGGCAAAGUGGACCUCCAUCCUUAACCAUGUCCAAGACAUCCACUCCAAUGAAGACCCUGUUUUCCCCCAGUGUUUGCAUCCGCAACACACUUCUAGGGACAAGAGCAAAUGGUUGACAGCAGGGACACCAGCCUUCUGCAGAUUAGAGAAGGUGUUGACUAACAAGAGGGUUCUGAAAGAUGUGGGGAAGCUGAGCCCUCACUACGUCGUUGGAGUCUUUCCAUAGCGUCAUUCUGCGUUUUGCACCCAAACACAUUGUCUUUUCCUUUUCUUGGAAUGUUAUGCAGGUAAAAGUACGAUUUAUUUUUUCAAAAAAUGUAUACCUAUUAUUUAUUAUACAAACUAUUAUACAGGCAUACACAAAUGCUCUUAUUAAUAUUAUUUUCUACCCAAAGACUCGACCUGGCAGCCCUUCAUUUCAAUGAAAAUGCUGGCCGUCCCCAAGCAACAAGUUCAAAUGGUGAGCCGCUAUUUAGAGUGAGCUUCCCAAAAUAUAAGAAGGGCGAGUGCACAGCAAAGCGGGUGAAAGCAGAUGCAA